This is a long non-coding RNA of Carassius carassius (crucian carp), 477 nucleotides long. RefSeq lists it as uncharacterized. The transcript has 3 exons. Lineage: Eukaryota; Metazoa; Chordata; Actinopteri; Cypriniformes; Cyprinidae. The record is from RefSeq and is a predicted model, not a curated record.
GAGAGGGACAGACGGGUUUAAGGAAAGUAAACUUCAGAAUAACAACGUUAUCUUUAUUUUUACUAAGACUAAAAUAAUGUUUGUUUUUGUAGAUGUUGAAAUCCAGAGACAAGAUAACUUCAUUCUUUUGAGACUGAUAACUCAAACUAACUGGAGUUGAGGACACAGAAGUCUGCUUGUGUGAGGAGGAGGUUUUCUCAGCUUCUUCUGAAGAGAUGGAAAGAUCGUUUAAGGCAAGUAAAAUUUAUAAUUUCAUGUUAUCAGUUGUUGUUGUUUUUUACUAAGAGUAAAAUAAUGUUUUUUUGUUUUUGUAGAUGUUAAAAGCCAGAGACAUGGGAGAGCAUCAUUCUUUUGAGAGUUUAUGACUCAAACCAACUUUGGAGUUGUCUUGUCUGAUUUGGAGAGUCAUCAUUCCUGGUCUUCUCUCUUAAAGGUAAAUUUCACACACAAAAUUAUUUACUUGCCCUCAUGUCAUUC